UUGAAAGGGAAACGAUUGAAGUUAGUGGAACUGGUACAAAAUCAGCUUACGCAUCAAGGCAAUUAGCGCAUUGGCGAGCCUAAAAACCGCCAUAGUCGACAUUCAAUUACUUGUGUGGGGUGCAUUUUUGUAUCGGCUGGUUAACAUCAAUUUUGACUGUCAUAAAAAGGCUAAAGGGGAUCGGGGCUCCUUCGGGAGCGUGAUAAACUUUAAGCGGAAUAUGGUGGUCGGGAUUGAGGUUUGCAACGAAUACCUUUAGGGCUGCUCAAACUGGUCUGAUCGCCCCUCUUUAGUUAUCAUAUAUAUGGUGCGUUCCGCUAAUUAUAGGGGUGGUUAGUCAGGUGGUGCAAAUUCGUUAAGGAUG
This 364-nucleotide ribosomal RNA is filed under the name Entrophospora claroidea. RNAcentral describes it as "partial 25S ribosomal RNA". Lineage: Eukaryota; Fungi; Glomeromycota; Glomeromycetes; Entrophosporales; Entrophosporaceae. The record is from RNAcentral.